CGUGUAGGCGGUCGGUUAAGUCUGAUGUGAAAGCCCGAGGCGUCAGCUUCGGAAGUGCAUCGGGAAAACUAGCCGGCUGGAGCGCGAUAGAGGAGGGUGGAAUUCCUGGUGUAGCGGUGAAAUGCGUAGAUAUCAGGAGGAACACCGGCGGCGAAGGCGGCCCUCUGGAUCGUUGCUGACGCUGAGACGCGAAAGCGUGGGGAGCAAACAGGAUUAGAUACCCUGGUAGUCCACGCUGUAAACUAUGGGUACUAGGUGUUCGGGGUAUUGACCCCCUGAGUGCCGCAGUUAACGCAUUAAGUACCCCGCCUGGGGACUACGGCCGCAAGGUUAA
This 334-nucleotide ribosomal RNA is filed under the name uncultured bacterium. Its description in RNAcentral is "bacterial SSU rRNA". It matches the Rfam family "Bacterial small subunit ribosomal RNA", at positions 568 to 897 of the family's 1533-position model. The record is from RNAcentral.